AUGGCCUCAGAAGCAGCCAGAAGAGGUGGUGCCAGUGUGAAAUGUCCCUGGCUACUCUGGGUUUAGCUACACACACCCUUUUAAAAUAGGUUAUAUAGUCUUGCCUUGGAAGUGAACGCUGAAAGUAGCUCGCUGUGAUUCCAGACCUUGGGACUCUAUAACCUAGGACCUGGCUCAGCACAACUCCCAGAAAAAAAUAAUGGGAGUUCCUUAGGCCCCUCUGGGAACCCAGUCCCACCCCUGAUGCAGGCCGUUCUUCCUGAGACUCAGCAGAGAGAAACCAAACCAAUCUCGGGGCCAGAUCCUUUCCCAGGUGGGGACAGCUCCCCAGCUCUUUCCCCCACCUCAGCACAGUUUGCAAAGUACUUUGCUGGCUAUCCACAACCCUCCGGAAGGGCUACUGCUUUAAGAGUGAAGAGAGUAACAACCCGGGAGAUAGACUUCUGGAAAGAAAAAGAAGGGACAGAUGGAUGGGAUGUGGCAGCUACAAGGGUCGGGGGCCACCACCUCUCAAAUCUUGACUGCUGGGAGGAGCAGAAGACCAGAGAACGUCUGAGGAGAGCCAGGCAGAUGGCUCAGCCAGUAAAAGCACUUGCCGCACAAGCCAGAAGACCUAAGUUCAAGCCCCAGAACCCACAUAAGAAGCAACUCUGUAAUCCCAGCAAGCCUGCGGUAAGGUCGAAGGCAGAGACAGGGCCAGAAGCUCCCAGGUAGUCUGGGGUAUGCUAUACAGCGCAGAAAGAGAGACCUCACCUCCAAAAAGACAGACAGUAGGAACUGACUCCC
Myodes glareolus (Bank vole) is the source of this 786-nucleotide non-coding RNA. The record is from RefSeq and is a predicted model, not a curated record. Lineage: Eukaryota; Metazoa; Chordata; Mammalia; Rodentia; Cricetidae.